Molecule: ribosomal RNA, 480 nt
Filed under: uncultured bacterium
Lineage: Bacteria
Description: partial 16S ribosomal RNA
Rfam family: Bacterial small subunit ribosomal RNA
Source: RNAcentral
GACGAACGCUGGCGGCGUGCUUAACACAUGCAAGUCGAACGGAAAGGCCCUGCUUGCAGGGUACUCGAGUGGCGAACGGGUGAGUAACACGUGGGUGAUCUGCCCUGCACUUCGGGAUAAGCCUGGGAAACUGGGUCUAAUACCGGAUAGGACCAUCGUUUAGUGUCGGUGGUGGAAAGUUUUUCGGUGCAGGAUGAGCUCGCGGCCUAUCAGCUUGUUGGUGGGGUAAUGGCCUACCAAGGCGUCGACGGGUAGCCGGCCUGAGAGGGUGGACGGCCACAUUGGGACUGAGGCACGGCCGAGACUCCUACGGGAGGCAGCAGUGGGGAAUAUUGCACAAUGGGCGCAAGCCUGAUGCAGCGACGCCGCGUGGGGGAUGAAGGCCUUCGGGUUGUAAACUCCUUUCAACCAUGACGAAGCUUUUUGUGACGGUAGUGGUAGAAGAAGCACCGGCUAACUACGUGCCAGCCGCCGCCGUAA